RNAcentral lists this ribosomal RNA (253 nucleotides) under uncultured bacterium. Its description in RNAcentral is "partial 16S ribosomal RNA". It matches the Rfam family "Bacterial small subunit ribosomal RNA", at positions 524 to 776 of the family's 1533-position model. The record is from RNAcentral.
UACGUAGGUGGCAAGCGUUAUCCGGAAUUAUUGGGCGUAAAGCGCGCGUAGGCGGUUUCUUAAGUCUGAUGUGAAAGCCCACGGCUCAACCGUGGAGGGUCAUUGGAAACUGGGAAACUUGAGUGCAGAAGAGGAAAGUGGAAUUCCAUGCGUAGCGGUGAAAUGCGCAGAGAUAUGGAGGAACACCAGUGGCGAAGGCGACUUUCUGGUCUGUAACUGACGCUGAUGUGCGAAAGCGUGGGGAUCAAACAGG